Molecule: long non-coding RNA, 1093 nt
Organism: Argiope bruennichi
Lineage: Eukaryota; Metazoa; Arthropoda; Arachnida; Araneae; Araneidae
Exons: 3
Source: RefSeq, a predicted model, not a curated record
UAUGCGGUCAUGCUUGAUAGUCCAAUGAAAGGAAGGAACAUGUAAAUGUUUGAGUCAUCAGCGGGAUGUGACAAAGAUUAAUUGUGAAUUUAUUUGGGGGGGUUUCAGAGAGAAUGAAAAACUUCACAGGUUACUUCAGAGAAGAGAGAAUGAAACUUCACAGGUUACUUCAGAGAAGAGAGAAUGAAACUUCGCAGGUUACUUCAGAGAAGAGAGAAUGAAACUUCGCAGGUUACUUCAGAGAAGAGAGAAUGAAACUUCGCAGGUUACUUCAGAGAAGAGAGAAUGAAACUUCGCAGGUUACUUCAGAGAAGAGAGAAUGAAACUUCGCAGGUUACUUCAGAGAAGAGAGAAUGAAACUUCGCAGGUUAUUUCCGUCUGCUUUUGAAGGUACAGAUUUUUACGCAAGUAAUGAGGAUUCUUCAUCCCGUGGUUCUGCUCAUUUUGAUCAAGAUACAGCAAGAAAACUAGAAUCCAUCAGCAGUUGCAGAUAAUAAAACAGUGUUGCAUAGAAGACGCCAUUCCUGUGGAUGCAAUCAUGCUUCAUCUUCGGACUCGACACUGAUGGACCUCUCGGCUUCAGUUGCAUCCUCGAUAGGCACCAACUCACAAAGUCUACAGAAAAUGUUUGCUCUAGGAUGAUAGGUUUUCCUCGAUGAUACCCAUGAAGCUUAGCCUGAGGAGCGUAUCUUUAAAAGCAGUGUGCUGAAUGAAAUAUAGUUUAGAUUUUGAGCAUAAUUGGGGAAACAUCCUGUGCCAUCAACUCGUACUUCAAAUUUCUGUCAAAGCAAUGCAAGAAAAGGACAGUCAGCACCAGCGUUUACAUAAAAGGGCAACAUUAAAGAAUUUGUACAGCUUAUAACAUCAACAGAAGUUGGAAGCACGUGACAUUAAAAAGUUGGAAGGCCUAGAAGUUUUAUGUCUUAAACUCAUGCAGAGAAUGAAUAUUUUAGCAAUAUUUUUAUCAAUAUAUAUUUUUAUGAAAAUUUGUUCAUGUUCGAAAUGUUAAUGACGAAUUUUAAAUUCAAAUAAUUAAUCGUUACCUUUUACAAAUUCAUCUGUUAAUUUUUUUUCAAAUUUGCCCAAUUUAUAA